Molecule: ribosomal RNA, 450 nt
Filed under: uncultured bacterium
Lineage: Bacteria
Description: partial 16S ribosomal RNA
Rfam family: Bacterial small subunit ribosomal RNA
Source: RNAcentral
GUGGGGAAUUUUGGACAAUGGGCGCAAGCCUGAUCCAGCAAUGCCGCGUGCAGGAAGAAGGCCUUCGGGUUGUAAACUGCUUUUGUACGGAACGAAAAGGCUCUGGUUAAUACCUGGGGCUCAUGACGGUACCGUAAGAAUAAGCACCGGCUAACUACGUGCCAGCAGCCGCGGUAAUACGUAGGGUGCAAGCGUUAAUCGGAAUUACUGGGCGUAAAGCGUGCGCAGGCGGUUUUGUAAGACAGAGGUGAAAUCCACGGGCUCAACCUGGGAAUUGCCUUUGUGACUGCAAGGCUGGAGUGCGGCAGAGGGGGAUGGAAUUCCGCGUGGAGCAGUGAAAUGCGUAGAUAUGCGGAGGAACACCGAUGGCGAAGGCAAUCCCCUGGGCCUGCACUGACGCUCAUGCACGAAAGCGUGGGGAGCAAACAGGAUUAGAAACCCGUGUAGUCC